This is an RNA transcript of Carya illinoinensis, 3783 nucleotides long. It is a transcript of the gene named pumilio homolog 6, chloroplastic-like, with no coding region annotated. Lineage: Eukaryota; Viridiplantae; Streptophyta; Magnoliopsida; Fagales; Juglandaceae. The record is from RefSeq and is a predicted model, not a curated record. The transcript is spliced from 11 exons.
UAGUUUUUGAUAUUUGUCCUUCCCUGCCCUUAGAAGACCAACAGCAACCAAAAGACAAAACCCAUACUUAAGUUUAACUGAAACAUAGCAAAACCUUAUCUGGAAUUAGCACUUUUUCUCUUUCUUUUAUAGCAACCAAAGCUUCCAUUAAACCGACUCCGUGCCAAAUAAAUAUUUCAGAGCCAACUCUCUGUCUCUAGAAAAAGAAUCUAGGGUUUGAAACAGUGAAUCUUUCCCCAUAGGUUUUCUGGAGACGAUGUGAGAUUUCUUGAUACCAUUUAUACCAGUAGGAAAAAAGUAGCUUAUUAAUCUUCUGUUAGCAUGGCCACGGAAAGUCCUAUUAGAAUGUCAGAAACUAGUGGAAAAUGGCCCUCCCAUCAGGAGGCUGCAACAUUUGCGGCAGAGGAAUUGGGAUUGCUUCUGAAGGGCCAUAAAUUUCAUGGCAGGGGGAGGGAUGUGGUCCCUAACCGAAGUGGAAGUGCACCCCCAAGCAUGGAAGGCUCGUUCUUGUCCAUGGAUAACAUUUUGUCUCAGCAGGCUAUUAACUCAAAUGCAAGCUUGGCCAGUCUAAACAGUGCUAUGCAGAACUACGAGUCUGAGGAACAGCUGAGAGCCGAUCCAGCUUAUUUGUCUUAUUAUUUAUCCAAUAUCAACCUAAACCCUAGGCUUCCUCUCCCACUUAUCUCAUCCGAGAAUCGCCGAGUAGUACGCCAUAUUGGUAGUUUUGGCAACAACUGGCCAUUGACUUCUGUGGAUGAUAGCAGCAAUGGUUCUUUGCAUAGGUCUCGUGGAACCCUUUCUACGCAAUAUGAAGAGUCUGAAGAUGAUCAGUCACCCCAAAAGCCUCCUGAUGAUUGGGUAGAUGAAACGGGUGGGUUUUGGUCUGGGCAGGAGGUGACUUCAUCAUCAUUUCAACACAGACAUGUGGUGGAUUCAGUACAGGAAGAUUCUCCCCACAUUCAAUCAUCUGAAUAUAGUCAUUCUAACUUGUUAAGCCAUGGAGUGGCAGAGGAAGCAUUUGAUCACGAUGCUGACUCCCGUUCCUUGUGUGAUCCCAUUAUUAGCACAUCAAAUGGUGUCACAUCCACCUUUGGUACAGAUGAUAGAAGGACACUGUCAAGUUCUGAUCCUUUGGGUGGCCCUGUUUCUAGCUCGUCUUCUCAUGAUCUUACAGGAAAUAGGGAUGUAAAUGAUUUGGGCGUUACCACCAUUGAAUCUGAUUUGAAGGCUCUUAAUAUAUCUAAUCUUCCAAGUUCAGAAAAUCGAAAAAAUCAAGAACAUUGGCAACGUAGCAGUCAGAAUAAUUUGUUGCUACAUCAGGUACAACAACAAAGCAAUUUAUCUCAAUUUCAAACUGCCAAGUCUCAAGUGAUAUCUCAAGGUGCAAACUGCACAUAUGUUGGUGUGGAUCGGUUUGUCCAUAAUACCAGCAAGUUUACGGCAGAGGUACAACCGGUACUACAGUCAUCUGGGUUCACUCCACCGUUUGCAACUGCUGCAGCCUACAUGACUUCAGCAAAUCCUUUAUACCCUAAUUUGCAGGCCCCAGGCUUAUAUUCCCAACAAUAUGUAGGUGGAUAUGCUUUGAAUCCCUCAAUUGUUCCUCCAUAUAUUGCUGGGUACCCUCCCCAUGGUUCUGUUCCUGUUGUUGUUGAUGGAACUGCUGGUCCAAGCUAUACGGCCCAAACUUCUGGGGUUUCAACUGGGGGAAACAUAGCUCACGGAGCUGAUAUGCAGCACUUAAAUAAGUUCUACGGGCAGCUUGGUUUUCCACUACAACCUUCUUUUGGCGAUCCUGUAUAUAUGCAAUAUCAUCAUCCACCUUAUGGUGACGUAUAUGGUAUUUCUGGUCAAUUUGAUCCAUUGGUUUCUAGAGGUGGUGUUGAUAUUGGGGGCCAGGCUAGAGCUCUUGAUUCGCAGAAGGGACCCAACGUUGCUGUUUAUUUGGAUGACCACAAAUUCCAUCAGACAAAUGGAGGGCUGAAUAACAUGAACCCAAGAAGAGGGGGGCCUAUGAGUUCUAAUUAUUAUGGAAGCCCACUAAACAUGGGUUUUCUGAUGCAGUACCCGAACUCACCACUUGCUAGUCCAGUUUUACCAGGGUCACCUGUUGGUGGGACUGGUGUUCCUGGGGGCAGAAAUGAAAUGAGAUUUGCUCUAAGCUCUGGUAGAAAUGCUGGUCUAUAUCCAGGAUGGCAAGGUCCAAGAGGGUUUGAGAGUUUUGAUGACUCUAAAAUAUAUAAUUUUCUUGAAGAGUUGAAAUCAGGCAAAGGUCGCAGAUUUGAGCUGUCUGAUAUUGUAGGACAUAUUGUUGAAUUCAGUGCUGAUCAACAUGGGAGUCGGUUUAUUCAGCAGAAGUUGGAAAAUUGUAGUGUUGAAGAGAAGGUGUCUGUAUUUAAAGAAGUUCUUCCUCAGGCUUCCAAACUAAUGACUGAUGUUUUUGGCAACUAUGUUAUUCAGAAGUUUUUUGAGUAUGGAAGCCCCGAGCAGAGGAAGGAACUUGCUUAUCAACUCACAGGUCAGGUUUUGCCUUUAAGCCUGCAGAUGUAUGGCUGUCGUGUAAUUCAAAAGGCACUUGAUGUCAUUGAUAUUGAACAGAAAGCACACCUUGUUCGAGAGCUGGAUGGUCAUGUCAUGCGGUGUGUUCGUGAUCAAAAUGGAAAUCAUGUAAUACAAAAGUGCAUCGAGAGCAUUCCAACUGGGAAAAUUGAGUUUAUCAUAUCUGCUUUUCGUGGCGAAGUUACGACACUUUCUAUGCAUCCUUAUGGUUGCCGUGUCAUACAGAGAGUUCUAGAGCAUUGUACAGAUGAGCUUCAAUGUCAGUUUAUAGUUGAUGAAAUCUUGGAGUCUGUUUGUACUCUUGCUCAGGAUCAGUAUGGAAAUUAUGUUACCCAGCAUGUACUGGAGAGGGGAAAGCCUCAUGAAAGGAGUAAGAUUAUAAGCAAGCUGUCGGGACAUGUUGUACAACUUAGCCAGCAUAAAUUUGCUUCAAAUGUUGUCGAGAAAUGCUUGGAGUAUGGUGGCUCUGCUGAGCGGGAACUAUUAAUUGGAGAGAUUUUCGGUCAUAAUGAAGGAACUGAUAAUUUAUUGACAAUGAUGAAGGACCAAUUUGCAAAUUACGUGGUUCAGAAGAUUCUUGAAAUAUGUUCUGAUAAUCAGCGGGCAAUGUUGCUUGGUCGUGUAAGAGUUCAUGCUCAUGCUUUGAAGAAAUACACUUAUGGAAAACACAUUGUUGCUCGAUUUGAACAGCUAUUUGGAGAAGAGUUACCACAGCACAUUUGGUAGGAACGGAAGGAACUAGAAAUUUGAGAGGAAAUCAGGAAGCAUUCUCUUUAGUCUUCUAUUAAGUCCUUGUGGGGAGUUCCUCUCCUUUGCAUGGAUAUGGCACUUCUCAAUUAAUGAAUAAAAAGACUUGUGUCGGUGACAACCCUUUCUUUUUUGGAAGUAUGGGAGACUGAAAAAAAAUCCUACAACUGGAUCCUGAUGCCAAAUGUGUGGAAUCAUCCAGUAUGGGCAUGUAUUUCUCGCUUCAGUGGAAAAAAGUAACAUGAUAAGAUAUGUAUAUGCUUCUCGAAAAGGCCGUACCACGGUUACAUUUAUGCAAUUUGGUAACUUCCACCCAAGGAAGCUGCAACUAGUUCAGUCAUUGGAAAAAUGGUCGAUGUUGUAAACAAUGUAAAGCAAGCGACAGAAUGUGUACAUUUUCAAACGGUGUGUUUUUAUGUUAUUACUGCAGGGUGAUUGGUUUAGAUUGCAACGCAAGGGUAAUUAUUCGGAAGGAAA